CGGGUGCACUGAUCCAGCCGGGCCUUUCCCUCUGUGGAACCCCAUGGCCUUCACUGGCUGUGGUGGGGAAACAGGACUUUUACUUUGAAAAAAUUAGAGUGCUCCAGGCAGGCCUAUGCUCGAAUACAUUAGCAUGGAAUAAUAGAAUAGGACGUGUGGUUCUAUUUUGUUGGUUUCUAGGACCGCCGUAAUGAUUAAUAGGGACAGUCGGGGGCAUCAGUAUUCAAUUGUCAGAGGUGAAAUUCUUGGAUCUAUUGAAGACUAACUACUGCGAAAGCAUUUGCCAAGGAUGUUUUCAUUGAUAAGGAACGAAAGUUAGGGGAUCGAAGACGAUCAGAUACCGUCGUAGUCUUAACUAUAAACUAUGCCGACUAGGGAUCGGACGAUGUUAUUCUUUGACGCGUUCGGCACCUUUCGAGAAAUCAAAGUGCUUGGGCUCCAGGGGGAGUAUGGUCGCAAGGCUGAAACUUAAAGAAAUUGACGGAAGGGCACCACCAGGGGUGGAACCUGCGGCUUAAUUUGACUCAACACGGGGAAACUCACCAGGUCCAGACACAGUGAGGAUUGACAGAUUGAGGGCUCUUUCUUGAUUCUGUGGGUGGUGGUGCAUGGCCGUUCUUAGUUGGUGGAGUGAUUUGUCUGCUUAAUUGCGAUAACGAACGAGACCUUAACCUGCUAAAUAGCCCGUACUGCUUUGGCAGUUCGCCGGCUUCUUAGAGGGACUAUCGG
Molecule: ribosomal RNA, 729 nt
Filed under: uncultured eukaryote
Lineage: Eukaryota
Description: SSU rRNA
Rfam family: Eukaryotic small subunit ribosomal RNA
Source: RNAcentral